This 523-nucleotide ribosomal RNA is filed under the name uncultured bacterium. RNAcentral describes it as "bacterial SSU rRNA". It matches the Rfam family "Bacterial small subunit ribosomal RNA", at positions 1 to 524 of the family's 1533-position model. The record is from RNAcentral.
UCGAGUUUGAUCCUGGCUCAGAUUGAACGCUGGCGGAAUGCUUUACACAUGCAAGUCGAGCGGCAGCGCGGGGGCAACCCUGGCGGCGAGCGGCGAACGGGUGAGUAACACAUCGGAACGUACCCUGUCGUGGGGGAUAACGAAUCGAAAGAUUCGCUAAUACCGCAUACGACCUGAGGGUGAAAGCAGGGGAUCGCAAGACCUUGCGCGAUUGGAGCGGCCGAUGUCGGAUUAGCUAGUUGGUAGGGUAAAGGCCUACCAAGGCGACGAUCCGUAGCUGGUCUGAGAGGACGACCAGCCACACUGGGACUGAGACACGGCCCAGACUCCUACGGGAGGCAGCAGUGGGGAAUUUUGGACAAUGGGGGGCAACCCUGAUCCAGCCAUUCCGCGUGAGUGAAGAAGGCCUUCGGGUUGUAAAGCUCUUUCGGCAGGAACGAAACGGCGGGCUCUAACAUAGCCUGUCAAUGACGGUACCUGAAGAAGAAGCACCGGCUAACUACGUGCCAGCAGCCCCGGUCAA